GAAAUGCGAUAAGUAAUGUGAAUUGCAGAAUUCCGUGAAUCAUCGAAUCUUUGAACGCACAUUGCGCCCUCUGGUAUUCCGGGGGGCAUGCCUGUCCGAGCGUCAUUGCGAAACCCUCAAGCACGGCUUGUGUGAUGGGCCCUCCCGCGUCUUGGUCGUCAAGACGGGCCCGAAAUGCAGUGGCGGCUUCGCGGUUAUCCGAUCAGCCAGAGCGUAUGGGGACUUUCUCUCUGUCACACGCCCGCGGCGCGGACCGACGCCUGUCGACCUUUAUUCAUCUUUUUCUCGGUUGACCUCGGAUCAGGUAGGGAUACCCGCUGAACUUAAGC
RNAcentral lists this unclassified non-coding RNA (329 nucleotides) under plant metagenome. RNAcentral's name for it is "partial contains 5.8S ribosomal RNA, internal transcribed spacer 2, and large subunit ribosomal RNA". The stretch from base 1 to 105 matches the Rfam family "5.8S ribosomal RNA", at positions 50 to 154 of the family's 154-position model. The record is from RNAcentral.